RNAcentral lists this ribosomal RNA (477 nucleotides) under uncultured bacterium. RNAcentral's name for it is "bacterial SSU rRNA". It matches the Rfam family "Bacterial small subunit ribosomal RNA", at positions 328 to 793 of the family's 1533-position model. The record is from RNAcentral.
UCAGUCGACUCCUACGGGGAGGCAGCAGUGGGGGAAUAUUGCACAAUGGGCGCAAGCCUGAUGCAGCCAUGCCGCGUGUAUGAAGAAGGACCUUCGGGUUGUAAAGUACUUUCAGCAGUGAGGAAGGCAGGUACGUUAAUAGCGUGCUUGUUUGACGUUAGCUGCAGAAGAAGCACCGGCUAACUCCGUGCCAGCAGCCGCGGUAAUACGGAGGGUGCGAGCGUUAAUCGGAAUUACUGGGCGUAAAGCGCAUGCAGGUGGUUUGUUAAGUCAGAUGUGAAAGCCCGGGGCUCAACCUCGGAAUUGCAUUUGAAACUGGCAGACUAGAGUACUGUAGAGGGGGGUAGGAAUUUCAGGUGUAGCGGUGAAAUGCGUAGAGAUCUGAAGGAAUACCGGUGGCGAAGGCGGCCCCCUGGACAGAUACUGACACUCAGAUGCGAAAGCGUGGGGAGCAAACAGGAUUAGAUACCCUGGUAG